GAUGAACGCUGGCGGCGUGCCUAAUACAUGCAAGUCGAGCGAACGGACGAGAAGCUUGCUUCUCUGAUGUUAGCGGCGGACGGGUGAGUAACACGUGGAUAACCUACCUAUAGACUGGGAUAACUUCGGGAAACCGUAGCUAAUACCGGAUAAUAUUUUGAACCGCAUGGUUCAAAAGUGAAAGACGGUCUUGCUGUCACUUAUAGAUGGAUCUGCGCUGCAUUAGCUAGUUGGUAAGGUAACGGCUUACCAAGGCAACGAUGCAUAGCCGACCUGAGAGGGUGAUCGGCCACACUGGAACUGAGACACGGUCCAGACUCCUACGGGAGGCAGCAGUAGGGAAUCUUCCGCAAUGGGCGAAAGCCUGACGGAGCAACGCCGCGUGAGUGAUGAAGGUCUUCGGAUCGUAAAACUCUGUUAUUAGGGAAGAACAUAUGUGUAAGUAACUGUGCACAUCUUGACGGUACCUAAUCAGAAAGCCACGGCUAACUACGUG
Molecule: ribosomal RNA, 496 nt
Filed under: uncultured bacterium
Lineage: Bacteria
Description: partial 16S ribosomal RNA
Rfam family: Bacterial small subunit ribosomal RNA
Source: RNAcentral